GAUGGAAGAACGCAGCGAAAUGCGAUAAGUAGUGUGAAUUGCAGAAUUCAGUGAAUCAUCGAAUCUUUGAACGCACAUUGCGCUCCCUGGUAUUCCGGGGAGCAUGCCCGUUUCAGAAUCACGUUCUCAAACUCUCGCCGGACCCACCGUGUUUCUCAACACGGUGGGAGAAGGUAGGGUGCUGGACAGAUUGAGCUUCACAGCCCAAUUGUCUGAAAGUCAUUGUCCAAACGGCCGCUGUGGUUUGCGUCCCACGGUCAAAGUGCAACAGAUGCGUGUUGUCUCUUCCCUUUGCGGUGGGAUGGCGCCCCGGUCAGUUAGGAUCAGGCCCCCUGUACGGCGGGAUUGCUUUGACGCAGUUCCGCCGAUGACAUGGUCUGAAAUCGGGCAAGAGAACCCGCUGAACUUAAGCAUAUCAAUAAGCGGAGGA
RNAcentral lists this unclassified non-coding RNA (430 nucleotides) under soil metagenome. Its description in RNAcentral is "partial contains 5.8S ribosomal RNA, internal transcribed spacer 2, and large subunit ribosomal RNA". The stretch from base 5 to 121 matches the Rfam family "5.8S ribosomal RNA", at positions 38 to 154 of the family's 154-position model. The record is from RNAcentral.